AGUGAACGCUGGCGGUAGGCCUAACACAUGCAAGUCGAACGGCAGCACAGUAAGAGCUUGCUCUUACGGGUGGCGAGUGGCGGACGGGUGAGGAAUACAUCGGAAUCUACUUUUUCGUGGGGGAUAACGUAGGGAAACUUACGCUAAUACCGCAUACGACCUACGGGUGAAAGCAGGGGAUCUUCGGACCUUGCGCGAUUGAAUGAGCCGAUGUCGGAUUAGCUAGUUGGCGGGGUAAAGGCCCACCAAGGCGACGAUCCGUAGCUGGUCUGAGAGGAUGAUCAGCCACACUGGAACUGAGACACGGUCCAGACUCCUACGGGAGGCAGCAGUGGGGAAUAUUGGACAAUGGGGGCAAGCCUGAUCCAGUCAUACCGCGUGGGUGAAGAAGGCCUUCGGGUUGUAAAGCCCUUUUGUUGGGAAAGAAAAGCAGCAGGUUAAUACCCCGCUGUUCUGACGGUACCCAAAGAAUAAGCACCGGCUAACUUCGUG
This 492-nucleotide ribosomal RNA is filed under the name uncultured bacterium. RNAcentral describes it as "partial 16S ribosomal RNA". It matches the Rfam family "Bacterial small subunit ribosomal RNA", at positions 29 to 507 of the family's 1533-position model. The record is from RNAcentral.